This 255-nucleotide ribosomal RNA is filed under the name uncultured bacterium. RNAcentral describes it as "partial 16S ribosomal RNA". It matches the Rfam family "Bacterial small subunit ribosomal RNA", at positions 32 to 267 of the family's 1533-position model. The record is from RNAcentral.
AAUCAACGCUGGCGGCGUGCCUAACACAUGCAAGUCGAACGCGACUGGGGCUUCGGCCUCAGUUGAGUGGCGAACGGGUGAGUAACACGUGGGUGACCUACCUUCGAAUGGGGGAGUAACGUCCCGAAAGGGACGCUAAUACCGCAUAACAUCCCGCCCUUUGAACAGGCGGAGAUCAAAGCCGGGGAUCGCAAGACCUGGCGUUUGAAGAGGGGCCCGCGUCCGAUUAGCUAGUUGGUGAGGUAACGGACGUCA